This 158-nucleotide ribosomal RNA is filed under the name Gymnostellatospora alpina. RNAcentral's name for it is "5.8S ribosomal RNA". It matches the Rfam family "5.8S ribosomal RNA". Rfam says of the family: 5.8S ribosomal RNA (5.8S rRNA) is a component of the large subunit of the eukaryotic ribosome. The record is from RNAcentral. Lineage: Eukaryota; Fungi; Ascomycota; Leotiomycetes; Thelebolales; Pseudeurotiaceae.
GUUAAAACUUUCAACAACGGAUCUCUUGGUUCUGGCAUCGAUGAAGAACGCAGCGAAAUGCGAUAAGUAAUGUGAAUUGCAGAAUUCAGUGAAUCAUCGAAUCUUUGAACGCACAUUGCGCCCCCUGGUAUUCCGGGGGGCAUGCCUGUCCGAGCGUC